CACCACGAAAAAUGUUCUAUUUUUUUUUUUUGCUUCAGUGACCCUAAAACAACAUUUCAGUUUGGUCAGAUAUUAUAACGUCUUCUAUUAAUUGAUCGAUUUUGGGAAUUUUUCGCUUUUUGUCAGAAUAGACUAAGCAAACCACCUAGCAGUCUAAGUUUGUUCACCAAAAUAGAAAAUUGUACUUGUAAGAUAGAUAUAUCAAAAAUAUAUUUGUCUCAGUUUGGCAUCGUUUAUUGCCAAACUUCUUUAUUGCAAAGGCAUCCUACUUAUUGCAAAGUUGUCUGUUACAAAAGCGGUCUUACUACCAUCUAUCAUGAUCUAUAAACUGGUUUAUAGAUCAUGUUAGUACUACUACUAGUAGUAGUAGUAGUGGUCGGCCUACGGCCGAAAGACACUUAGUAACAAGAACCGCUUUGGUUACAAGUUAUUUGGAAGACGGGUGGUUUAUACAGAACGGUUGUUAGAUGGCCAUUGCUUACAAAAUUGCUGGAUUCUGCACUGCCCUGCACUGCAAUUGGCUGGAUCAACAUCAUGUGUAUUUGAGCUGUCCUGCAUGUCAUAUUUUAGGGAACAAAACUUGCUAUCUACAAUUGAUUUUGUGAAGGUGGCGUUGGCAACAGUGUUACACCAGAGGGCGCCGCUGCAUCUAGCCGUAUACAAGUGAACAUUUUCUGACGCAGGACGUUAAAAGAAGGUAAAGAAGGUAGUGUUGUAAGAUUUUUAUAGAUUUUAAUCAAGAUUUUAAUCACAUGGGUUUCCUUAUGUUCCAGAAGUUCAUUUACGCAUUUUAAAAAUAUAUCUUUUCUUUUUUUCUGUAAUCACACUAAUUUAUGCCCGUGAGCUUCAAAAACGUAGAUAAACCACCAGGUCUGCCACGUUGAACCAACUGAAUCAUCAAAUGUCAUGUUCUGCACGUGAUUAAAUAGGUUUUCCUAGCGCUAAUUUAUAACAUACUACAUUAAUUAUCAAUUAAAACAGGUCAUUUUCCAUUGUGAUUUCUGUACUGCAUAAAUCUUUUGUUGCUGUACUGAUCCUCAAUCUGUUUCUUGUCUUAUCAUAGGCAAUCCUUAAAAUAGGAUGAACACCAGAAACAGCUAAUCAUGAUUUCCUUUCAAUACUGUUUGUUUUAGGGCUCUUUCUACUUGUAUGUGGACUAUUGGCGUCAAAAUUACUUGAUUGUUGAUGAUUCAAUUUUUGGAUAAAUUUUCCUAACUUGUUAUACAUUAGAUGUUUCUGGUAAAAUUUUUUAAUCUCUCAAUGGAUGCUCAAACAAGUUUCAGGAAAUUGCUUCACAUUACUGGAGCACUAUCUUGUAGAACCAGAUAUUUUAUAAAAAUUUAAUUGUACCAGAAAUCUUUAAUAGCAGAAUGAUCUUAGUAUUCAUUAAUAAUUUUGCUGUCAGAUGGAUGUGUGUUAACGAGUUGCCGUAGGACUUCUGCCUUUGCUUACAUUGAACACCUGAGGUUAUUUCCUGUUACCAAUUUUCUGCAUUUACGUAAUGUCUAGGAUGAGAGUUAAUUGUAUCCCCUUUGAUCUAUAUCCAAUUUCUUGUAACUUGAUCAAAGAUACAGCAAGUUGGUGAAGGUAAUAAGAAAAGAUAUAAUUUGUGUUAAUCAACUGUACGGAUCUUCAGUUAUGCCCAUCCGGCCUGAUUAUUCUAAAAAGUAAAUAGUAGAUCAAGUAUUUACGAAAUCGAGGCGAAACAUUUCUCUUAUUUUAUAAAUUCCCCCCCCCUCCCCCUUACUUGUUGACUUGGAUUCCACUCCGCAGAAACUACUUUUAAGAAAGUCGUCGAUAUUAGAUGUUGCAUCAUUCCGUUUCCAGUCUUAGUGGCGUUACUGGCAGCUGCUGUAAACAAGUGAAAUUUGUCCCGCUUGUACAAAAUUCCUGAGACAAUAAUAUUGACAAUGCAAAAUAAAUUCAUCUGUUGGGAACUGCUGGUAUUUUGUGAAUCCAUUUCAAUGCAACCGACGGGGAAAUUCCUUUUGCAACACCUAAAUAGUUAUUCGUGCAACAGUUAAUUUGCGGAUUUUUUUUUUUUUU
Molecule: long non-coding RNA, 2046 nt
Organism: Daphnia magna
Lineage: Eukaryota; Metazoa; Arthropoda; Branchiopoda; Diplostraca; Daphniidae
Exons: 3
Source: RefSeq, a predicted model, not a curated record